GACGAACGCUGGCGGCGUGCUUAACACAUGCAAGUCGAACGAUGAAGCCGCUUCGGUGGUGGAUUAGUGGCGAACGGGUGAGUAACACGUGGGCAAUCUGCCCUGCACUCUGGGACAAGCCCUGGAAACGGGGUCUAAUACCGGAUACGACCAUCGGCCGCAUGGCCUGGGGGUGGGAAGCUCUGGGGGUGCAGGAUGAGCCCGCGGCCUAUCAGCUUGUUGGUGGGGUGAUGGCCUACCAAGGCGACGACGGGUAGCCGGCCUGAGAGGGCGACCGGCCACACUGGGACUGAGACACGGCCCAGACUCCUACGGGAGGCAGCAGUGGGGAAUAUUGCACAAUGGGCGCAAGCCUGAUGCAGCGACGCCGCGUGAGGGAUGACGGCCUUCGGGUUGUAAACCUCUUUCAGCAGGGAAGAAGCUUUCGGGUGACGGUACCUGCAGAAGAAGCACCAGCUAACUACGUGCCAGCAGCCGCGGUAA
Molecule: ribosomal RNA, 483 nt
Filed under: uncultured bacterium
Lineage: Bacteria
Description: partial 16S ribosomal RNA
Rfam family: Bacterial small subunit ribosomal RNA
Source: RNAcentral